GUGCACGCCUAGAGUGCUCUCUCAUACAUCAUCCAUCUCACCCCUUUGUGCAUUGCCGCGUGGGAUCCCCUUUUGGCUUUGUCCUGAAGGGGGCCUGCGUUUUUACAUAGACACCCUUUUAAUGCAUGUGUAGAAUGUCUUACUUUUUGCGAUUACACGCAAUCAAUACAACUUUCAACAACGGAUCUCUUGGCUCUCGCAUCGAUGAAGAACGCAGCGAAAUGCGAUACGUAAUGUGAAUUGCAGAAUUCAGUGAAUCAUCGAAUCUUUGAACGCACCUUGUGCCCCUUGGUAUUCCGAGGGGCACACCCGUUUGAGUGUCGUGAACACCCUCAACCUUCUGGGUUUCUUGACCAGGAAGGCUUGGACUUUGGAGGUUUAAACUUGCUGGCCCCUUUUGGAAUCCAGCUCCUCCUAAAUGAAUUGGUGGGGUCCGCUAUUGCUAAUCCUUGACGUGAUAAGUAUUCCUUCUACGUCUUGGGUUUUGCAGUGUCACCUUGGAACCUGCCCUCCAACCGUCUUUGAAUGAAGACAAUGUUCGAGUUACGACUUGACCUUACAGACCUUGACCUCAAAUCGGGUGAGACUACCCGCUGAACUUAAGCAUAUCAAUAA
This 615-nucleotide ribosomal RNA is filed under the name Russula integra. Its description in RNAcentral is "eukaryotic LSU rRNA". The stretch from base 170 to 323 matches the Rfam family "5.8S ribosomal RNA". Lineage: Eukaryota; Fungi; Basidiomycota; Agaricomycetes; Russulales; Russulaceae. The record is from RNAcentral.